This 822-nucleotide ribosomal RNA is filed under the name actinobacterium HA-est-Is54-28. RNAcentral describes it as "bacterial SSU rRNA". It matches the Rfam family "Bacterial small subunit ribosomal RNA", at positions 22 to 860 of the family's 1533-position model. The record is from RNAcentral. Lineage: Bacteria; Bacillati; Actinomycetota; Actinomycetes.
GCUCAGGACGAACGCUGGCGGCGUGCUUAACACAUGCAAGUCGAGCGGUAAGGCCUUUCGGGGUACACGAGCGGCGAACGGGUGAGUAACACGUGGGUGAUCUGCCCUGCACUCUGGGAUAAGCUUGGGAAACUGGGUCUAAUACCGGAUAUGACCGCAAUGCGCAUGUGUUGUGGUGGAAAGAUUUAUCGGUGCAGGAUGGGCCCGCGGCCUAUCAGCUUGUUGGUGGGGUAAUGGCCUACCAAGGCGACGACGGGUAGCCGACCUGAGAGGGUGACCGGCCACACUGGGACUGAGACACGGCCCAGACUCCUACGGGAGGCAGCAGUGGGGAAUAUUGCACAAUGGGCGGAAGCCUGAUGCAGCGACGCCGCGUGAGGGAUGAAGGCCUUCGGGUUGUAAACCUCUUUCAGCAGGGACGAAGCGUGAGUGACGGUACCUGCAGAAGAAGCACCGGCUAACUACGUGCCAGCAGCCGCGGUAAUACGUAGGGUGCGAGCGUUGUCCGGAAUUACUGGGCGUAAAGAGUUCGUAGGCGGUUUGUCGCGUCGUUUGUGAAAACCCGGGGCUCAACUUCGGGCUUGCAGGCGAUACGGGCAGACUUGAGUGUUUCAGGGGAGACUGGAAUUCCUGGUGUAGCGGUGAAAUGCGCAGAUAUCAGGAGGAACACCGGUGGCGAAGGCGGGUCUCUGGGAAACAACUGACGCUGAGGAACGAAAGCGUGGGUAGCAAACAGGAUUAGAUACCCUGGUAGUCCACGCCGUAAACGGUGGGCGCUAGGUGUGGGUUCCUUCCACGGGAUCUGUGCCGUAGCUAACGCAU